CUAAAUAUGUAGACUAAUCUUUACCUUUGUUA
RNAcentral lists this transfer RNA (32 nucleotides) under Craugastor stejnegerianus (Stejneger's rainfrog). Its description in RNAcentral is "partial tRNA-Met". The record is from RNAcentral. Lineage: Eukaryota; Metazoa; Chordata; Amphibia; Anura; Craugastoridae.